Long non-coding RNA from Hypanus sabinus (Atlantic stingray), 2474 nucleotides. RefSeq lists it as uncharacterized. The transcript is spliced from 4 exons. The record is from RefSeq and is a predicted model, not a curated record. Lineage: Eukaryota; Metazoa; Chordata; Chondrichthyes; Myliobatiformes; Dasyatidae.
GGGGGUGGUGAAGAGGAUGGAGAGUGGUAGAGAUGGGGACGAAAAGAAGGGGGGGAAGGAAAAGUGGAGCAGGAGCCAGUUAGGAAAGAGUACUAAUAGGAGUGAGCAAUAGAAAGCGAAGAGGUACAGAAGGCUGUGAAAAAUAAGAAAUUGAGAUAAGAAGUGGUGUAGACAUGGGAAUGGAGGGGGAGUGAGGGAAAGGUGGGAAGCAGAAUAGGAGAGCAUGGAGGGGUUUGACGAGGAGAAGGGGAGUGGGAGAUAAAGAAAUCAAGAAGGGGGUUUAAUUACACAUCUGGACCCCAAAAUUCCAGCCUGUGUCCAUGCAGAUGAGAGACUAUACAAGAAUUCAGACUCUGUUUAACCUGCUGAGAUCCCCCAGUGCCUUUGACCGUAGGCAGAGCAAUGUAUCCUCCAGCUGGGAUUCAGCUUGAACACUACCCAGUUUUAGUCUCUGCUCACAUCAUCAGGUUGGAGGCUACCCAGACAGCAAAAGAGGUGUUCAUCCUCCAUCGUGGCCACUCUACUGUUAGUGGAAUUUAGUGGGUCAGAAGGCAUCUAUGGAGAGAAAUGGAUAGCUGAAGUUUGGACAAUGAAUGUGGGACUUCAACCCAAAAUGUUGACAAUUCUUGUCCUUCUACAGAUACUGCUUGUCCUGCUGAAUUCCUCCAAUCCAGAUUCUUAGCUCCAGGUUCCAGUGUCUGCAGUCUCUUCUGUCUCCAGUCAAUGUCUCAGGAUGCCCGGGUCAAAAUCACCCAAAAUAGCAACAAGAAGAAGCAGCAAGCAGAAACCAAGCACUUGAUAUUAAUUUCUAACCUUUUUUGCUUUUGAAUCUUUUAAGAUCCAAAUCCAUAAAUCCGAAAUACUCUUGGAUUGAGGUUGAAUAACAACAAUAAACAAUGCAUUUUCCUUUUAAGAAAUGCGAGUUAGAUUUCAAUACUCUGCUGUAGUUUCACAGUACUGUAAUUUGCAUAAAGGUUGCCUGUGAAUAAACUGAGUGGCCAAGGCACUAAAAAUAUAAGCAUCAAUGUAAAUAAAGUCUAAUAUCUGCAGAGUUGCUCAUGCCUACAAGAUUUUACAGUCAGCUUUAAAAACUCCUUGUUCAAUUGGAUCCUCAUUUGCAGACCCCAGUCAGUAUGGAUUGACAACAAAAUCUCCUCCGUGAUCUCCAUCAGCACUGCUGCACCACAGGGUUGUGUGCUUGGCCUCCAAUCUACUGGCUUUAUACAUAUGACAGUGUAACUAAACACAGCUCCAAUGCCAUAUUCAAGUUUGCUGAUGACACCAUUUUCAUAAACAGAAUCAAAGGUGGUGAUGAAUCAGCAUAUAAGAGGAAGACUGAAAAUCUAGCUGAGAGGUGCCAGAACGACAACAUCUCACUCACUCAUGACAACGAGACCAAGGAGCUGAUUAUUGACUUCAGCAGCCAGUCCUUAUUGGAAGAUCAGAGGUGGAACGGGUCAAUAGGCACCCGUUAGUCUCGCGAGACCAUGGAUUUGCGCCUUGGAAAGUUUCAGGGCAGAAAUUCUGCAGAUAUUAGACUUUAUUUACAUUGAUGCUUGUAUGGGAGACCGGCAGUUGCCCAUGCUGCAAGUCCCCUUCUCCAUGCCACCGAUGUUGUCCAAGGGAAGGGAAAGGGCUGAUACAGCUUGGCACUGGUGUCGUCGCAGAGCAAUGUGUGGUUAAGUGCCUUGCUCAAGGACACAACACGUUGCAUUAGCUGAGGCUUGAACUAGCGACCUUUAGAUCACUAGACCUACGUCUUAACCACUUGGCCAUGUGGAACUAUAAAUUCCUCAGUGUUAUUAUUUUGGGGGAUCUGUCCUGGGAGAGGCAUAUAAGUGCAGCUAUGAAGAAAGCAUAGUAGAACCUCUACUUAAGAGUUUGGGAAGAUUCAGUGUGACAUCUAAAACGUUGACAAACUUCUAUAGAUGUGUGGUGGAGGAGUACAUUGACUGGCUGCAUCACAUCCUGGUAUGGAAACACCAAUGCCCUUGAAUGGAAAUCCCUACUAAAAGUAGUGAACAGCCCAGUCCAUCAGGGUAAAGUCCUCCCUACCACCGAGCACAUCUACAUGAAGUGUUAUUGCAGGAAAGCAGCAUCCAUCAUCAGGGACCCCAUCACCCAGGUCUUGCUCUCUUCGUGCUGCUUCCAUCAGAAAGAAGGUACAGGAGCCUCAGGACUCUCACUAGCAGAUUCAGGAACAGUUAUUACCCCUCAACCAUCAGACUUUGAACCAAGGAGAAUAACUUCACUUGCCCCAUCAUUGAAAUGUUCCCACAAACUAUGGACUCCUUUUCAAGGACUCUUCAUCUCAUGUUCUUGAUUGUUUAUUGCAGUAUCCAUCAUCAGGGACCCUCACCACCCAGGAGAUGCUUUCUUCUUUUGAAAAUGACUUUUCCAAUGCUUCAGCAUUUCCUUGGUAUUGGGUUGGUGUGUCAGACCAAAUGUUGUGCUCGAGGGAACCCAGAGCAUUU